AAUAGAUACCCAGGUAGUCCACGCCGUAAACGAUGAGUGCUAGGUGUUGGGGGCAUCACGUCCUCAGUGCCGAAGGAAACCCAAUAAGCACUCCGCCUGGGGAGUACGGCCGCAAGGCUGAAACUCAAAGGAAUUGACGGGGGCCCGCACAAGCGGUGGAGCAUGUGGUUUAAUUCGAAGCAACGCGAAGAACCUUACCAAGGCUUAACAUCCCGCUGAUCCCUCUAGAGAUAGAGGUUCCCUUCGGGGCAAUGGUGACAGGUGGUGCAUGGUUGUCGUCAGCUCGUGUCGUGAGAUGUUGGGUUCAGUCCCGCAACGAGCGCAACCCUUAUCCUUAGUUGCCAGCAGGUAAAGCUGGGCUCUCUAAGGAGACAGCCGGUGAAAGCCGGAGGAAGGUGGGGAUGACGUCAAAUCAUCAUGCCCCUUACGUCUUGGGCUACACACGUACUACAAUGGAUGGUACAAAGGGAAGCGAGCCCGCGAGGUGGAGCAAAUCCCAGAAAGCCAUUCUCAGUUCGGAUUGUAGG
RNAcentral lists this ribosomal RNA (527 nucleotides) under uncultured bacterium. Its description in RNAcentral is "bacterial SSU rRNA". It matches the Rfam family "Bacterial small subunit ribosomal RNA", at positions 777 to 1304 of the family's 1533-position model. The record is from RNAcentral.